AAUAAAUAUAAUUUUGCACUGUUUAUGUCCAACGUUUAACCUUUCAUCUUAUUUGAAAAUUUUUUAGGAUUACUAUUUUUAUUUUUAUUAGAUGAUAAAAUAUGAAUAGUAUUUUUAUAUGUGAUUCAUUUUUUUAAAAAAAUUUCAUAAUUUUUUCAACUAAAACGAACGGUCAAACGCUGGACAUGGAUAUCCAUGACUGCAUUUAUC
This is a non-coding RNA of Oryza glumipatula, 210 nucleotides long. Lineage: Eukaryota; Viridiplantae; Streptophyta; Magnoliopsida; Poales; Poaceae. The record is from Rfam.